RNAcentral lists this ribosomal RNA (587 nucleotides) under Cryptocercus punctulatus (brown-hooded cockroach). RNAcentral's name for it is "12S ribosomal RNA". The record is from RNAcentral. Lineage: Eukaryota; Metazoa; Arthropoda; Insecta; Blattodea; Cryptocercidae.
AUUUGGUAAUGUUUAUAGUAUCGGUUAAAUUUGUGCCAGCAACCGCGGUUAUACAAAUGAUACAAUUGAAUAUUUUUAGUUAAAGUAGUUUAUUAAAUUUAUUUUUAGGCUGCGAAAUUUUUCUUUAAAUUAGGAUUAGGUAAUCCUAUUGUUUUAUGUUAAUUAUUUAACUUGAGUAGUAGUUGUUAUUUUCUUGAAACUCAAAGAAUUUGGCAGUAUCUUAUUCUGUUCAGAGGAACUUAUAUUUUUAUCAAAAACCCCCGUUGGGCUACUUGAUUUAUAUAUUUAUUUGUAUAUCGCCUUUGUUUUGAGAUUCUCUUAGAAUUAUUUAAUUUUCUUGUUUUUUAUUUUAUUUUAUCUCAGGCCAUAGUGCAAUUUAUAAUUAAGUGAUUAUAGGUUACAUUGUUAUUUAUGUUUGAAUUAUUAAUUGCAAUUUUAAUAUGAAAUUGGAUUUGAAUGUAAUUAUUAUUUUAGAUAGUAAUUAUGAAUAAGUUUUUGGGAUAUGUUCAUACCGCCUGUCGCUCUCGUUAUUUAUUCGAGAUAAGUCGUAACAUAGUAGUUGUAUCUAAAGAUGUAACUAGAAUUAU